UACGUAGGGUGCAAGCGUUGUCCGGAAUUAUUGGGCGUAAAGGGCGCGUAGGCGGCUCGGUCAGCGUGCGGUGAAAGCCCGGGGCUCAACCCCGGGUCGGCCGUGCGAACUGCUGGGCUGGAGCACUGUAGAGGCAGGUGGAAUUCCGGGUGUAGCGGUGGAAUGCGUAGAGAUCCGGAAGAACACCGGUGGCGAAGGCGGCCUGCUGGGCAGUAGCUGACGCUGAUGCGCGACAGCGUGGGGAGCAAACAGG
RNAcentral lists this ribosomal RNA (253 nucleotides) under uncultured bacterium. RNAcentral describes it as "partial 16S ribosomal RNA". It matches the Rfam family "Bacterial small subunit ribosomal RNA", at positions 524 to 776 of the family's 1533-position model. The record is from RNAcentral.